This is a regulatory RNA element of Alloscardovia omnicolens F0580, 105 nucleotides long. It matches the Rfam family "TPP riboswitch aptamer (THI element)". Rfam says of the family: Vitamin B(1) in its active form thiamin pyrophosphate (TPP) is an essential coenzyme that is synthesised by coupling of pyrimidine and thiazole moieties in bacteria. The previously detected thiamin-regulatory element, thi box was extended, resulting in a new, highly conserved RNA secondary structure, the THI element, which is widely distributed in eubacteria and also occurs in some archaea. The record is from Rfam. Lineage: Bacteria; Bacillati; Actinomycetota; Actinomycetes; Bifidobacteriales; Bifidobacteriaceae.
GUACACCACGGGGAGCUUGUGUAACAGGCUGAGAGGAUGGUACGACCAUCGACCCUUGAACCUGAUGUGGAUAAUGCCAACGUAGGGAAAUGCAGUGCAUAUCAU